Molecule: non-coding RNA, 130 nt
Filed under: Nostoc sp.
Lineage: Bacteria; Bacillati; Cyanobacteriota; Cyanophyceae; Nostocales; Nostocaceae
Source: RNAcentral
GGUAGAUUACUAGAACUUGGUGUUGGGAAACUCCGGUGCGAUUCCGGGGCUGUGCCGCAGCUGUGAUGAAAAGUCCCAAGAAUUUCUCUUGUAACUUUCCGAGUCAGAAUGCCAAUUCCAAGAGUUAGCU